GGUUGUAGCUCAGCUGUAGAGCACUUGCCUAGAAUGUGCGAGGCCCUGGGUUCAAUCCUCAGCACCA
Molecule: transfer RNA, 67 nt
Filed under: Marmota monax (woodchuck)
Lineage: Eukaryota; Metazoa; Chordata; Mammalia; Rodentia; Sciuridae
Description: tRNA.Ser
Source: RNAcentral